GACGAACGCUGGCGGCGUGCUUAACACAUGCAAGUCGAACGAAGAGCGAUGGAAGCUUGCCUCUAUCAAUCUUAGUGGCGAACGGGUGAGUAACGCGUAAUCAACCUGCCCUUCAGAGGGGGACAACAGUUGGAAACGACUGCUAAUACCGCAUACGAUCUAAUCUCGGCAUCGAGGAAAGAUGAAAGGUGGCCUCUAUUUAUAAGCUAUCACUGAAGGAGGGGAUUGCGUCUGAUUAGCUAGUUGGAGGGGUAACGGCCCACCAAGGCGAUGAUCAGUAGCCGGUCUGAGAGGAUGAACGGCCACAUUGGGACUGAGACACGGCCCAGACUCCUACGGGAGGCAGCAGUGGGGAAUCUUCCGCAAUGGACGAAAGUCUGACGGAGCAACGCCGCGUGAGUGAUGACGGCCUUCGGGUUGUAAAGCUCUGUUAAUCGGGACGAAAGGCCUUCUUGCGAACAGUUAGAAGGAUUGACGGUACCGGAAUAGAAAGCCACGGCUAACUACGUG
This 510-nucleotide ribosomal RNA is filed under the name uncultured bacterium. Its description in RNAcentral is "partial 16S ribosomal RNA". It matches the Rfam family "Bacterial small subunit ribosomal RNA", at positions 28 to 507 of the family's 1533-position model. The record is from RNAcentral.